This 440-nucleotide ribosomal RNA is filed under the name Sphingorhabdus buctiana. Its description in RNAcentral is "bacterial SSU rRNA". It matches the Rfam family "Bacterial small subunit ribosomal RNA", at positions 338 to 795 of the family's 1533-position model. Lineage: Bacteria; Pseudomonadati; Pseudomonadota; Alphaproteobacteria; Sphingomonadales; Sphingorhabdaceae. The record is from RNAcentral.
CCUACGGGAGGCAGCAGUGGGGAAUAUUGGACAAUGGGCGAAAGCCUGAUCCAGCAAUGCCGCGUGAGUGAUGAAGGCCUUAGGGUUGUAAAGCUCUUUUACCAGGGAUGAUAAUGACAGUACCUGGAGAAUAAGCUCCGGCUAACUCCGUGCCAGCAGCCGCGGUAAUACGGAGGGAGCUAGCGUUGUUCGGAAUUACUGGGCGUAAAGCGCACGUAGGCGGCGACUCAAGUCAGAGGUGAAAGCCUGGAGCUCAACUCCAGAACUGCCUUUGAAACUAGGUUGCUAGAAUCUUGGAGAGGCGAGUGGAAUUCCGAGUGUAGAGGUGAAAUUCGUAGAUAUUCGGAAGAACACCAGUGGCGAAGGCGACUCGCUGGACAAGUAUUGACGCUGAGGUGCGAAAGCGUGGGGAGCAAACAGGAUUAGAUACCCCGGUAGUC